GGGUGUAGUUCAGCUGGUAGAGCGUCGGUCUCCAAAACCGAAUGUCGCGGGUUCGAAUCCUGCCGCCC
Molecule: transfer RNA, 68 nt
Filed under: human gut metagenome
Also listed under: 1 other name
Rfam family: tRNA
About the family: Transfer RNA (tRNA) molecules are approximately 80 nucleotides in length.
Source: RNAcentral